Molecule: small RNA, 19 nt
Filed under: Arabidopsis thaliana (thale cress)
Lineage: Eukaryota; Viridiplantae; Streptophyta; Magnoliopsida; Brassicales; Brassicaceae
Description: Ath_wt_05991
Source: RNAcentral
GCGCAUGAAUGGAUUAACG